ACUGCUCAGUAACACGUCGGUAAUCUGCCCCACGGUCGGGGAUAACCUCGGGAAACUGAGGGUAAAACCCGAUAGGCGAUGCGUCCUGGAAUGGUGCUUCGCCCAAAUUCGUGCCGUAGGAUGAGCCGGCGGCGGAUUAGGCUGUUGGUGGGGUAACGGCCCACCAAACCGAAGAUCCGUACGGGCCAUGAGAGUGGUAGCCCGGAGAGGGACACUGAGAUACUGGUCCCAGCCCUACGGGGUGCAGCAGGCGCGAAACCUUUCCAAUGCACGAAAGUGUGAGAAGGGGAUACGCAGUGCUCACGGUUCUGCUGUGGGCUUUUGUCGAGUCUAGACCGCUCGGCGAAUAAGUGGUGGGUAAGACCGGUGCCAGCCGCCGCGGUAACACCGGCGCCACAAGUGGUCAUCGCGAUUAUUGGGCCUAAAGCGUUCGUAGCCGGUUUGGUAAAUCCCUUGUGAAAUCGUUCGGCCUAACCGAACGGCGCGCAGGGGACACUGCUAAGCUCGAGACCGGGAGGGGUCAGAGGUAUUCCAUGGGGACCGGUAAAAUGGGAUAAUCCAUGGAGGACCACCGAUGGCGAAGGCAUCUGACCAGAACGGUUCUGACGGUGAGGAACGAAAGCCAGGGGAGCGAACCGGAUUAGAUACCCGAGUAGUCCUGGCCGUAAACGCUGUGAGCUAGGUGUUGCGCAUCCCAUGAGGAUGCGCAGUGUCGAAACGAAAGUGAUAAGCUCACCGCCUGGGAAGUACGGUCGCAAAACUGAAACUUUAAGAAUUGGCGGGGGAGCAC
RNAcentral lists this ribosomal RNA (790 nucleotides) under uncultured euryarchaeote. RNAcentral's name for it is "bacterial SSU rRNA". It matches the Rfam family "Archaeal small subunit ribosomal RNA", at positions 85 to 879 of the family's 1478-position model. The record is from RNAcentral. Lineage: Archaea; Methanobacteriati; Methanobacteriota.